This 271-nucleotide ribosomal RNA is filed under the name uncultured bacterium. Its description in RNAcentral is "partial 16S ribosomal RNA". It matches the Rfam family "Bacterial small subunit ribosomal RNA", at positions 524 to 794 of the family's 1533-position model. The record is from RNAcentral.
UACGGAGGGCGCAAGCGUUAAUCGAAAUCACUGGGCGUAAAGCGUGCGUAGGCUGUUUGAUAAGUUGGAUGUGAAAUCCCCGGGCUCAACCUGGGAACUGCAUUCAAAACUGACAAGCUAGAGUAUGGUAGAGGGUGGUGGAAUUUCCUGUGUAGCGGUGAAAUGCGUAGAUAUAGGAAGGAACACCAGUGGCGAAGGCGACCACCUGGACUGAUACUGACACUGAGGUGCGAAAGCGUGGGGAGCAAACAGGAUUAGAUACCCGUGUAGU